AUACGUAGGUGGCAAGCGUUGUCCGGAUUUACUGGGUGUAAAGGGCGUGUAGGCGGAGAUGCAAGUCAGGAGUGAAAUCUAGGGGCUCAACCCCUAAACUGCUUUUGAAACUGUAUCCCUUGAGUAUCGGAGAGGCAGGCGGAAUUCCUAGUGUAGCGGUGAAAUGCGUAGAUAUUAGGAGGAACACCAGUGGCGAAGGCGGCCUGCUGGACGACAACUGACGCUGAGGCGCGAAAGCGUGGGGAGCAAACAGGAUUAGAUGCCCUGGUAGUCCACACUGUAAACGAUGAUUGCUAGGUGUGGGGGGUCUGACCCCUUCCGUGCCGCAGUUAACGCAAUAAGCAAUCCACCUGGGGAGUACGGCCGCAAGGCUAAAACUCAAAGGAAUUGACGGGG
This 396-nucleotide ribosomal RNA is filed under the name uncultured bacterium. RNAcentral describes it as "partial 16S ribosomal RNA". It matches the Rfam family "Bacterial small subunit ribosomal RNA", at positions 523 to 918 of the family's 1533-position model. The record is from RNAcentral.